Molecule: long non-coding RNA, 292 nt
Organism: Armigeres subalbatus
Lineage: Eukaryota; Metazoa; Arthropoda; Insecta; Diptera; Culicidae
Exons: 3
Source: RefSeq, a predicted model, not a curated record
GAAAAUGGGUAACGGGAAAAGUCGUUACACGCACACCAUUACAGUCGGGAUGACUUCUCGGGAGGGGUUUUUUAGUGCCUCGCCGGUAUCACUCUAAUCAGUCUUGAGAUAUCUUGCAAAAAGAACAGUUGAAUUUCACCGAGGAUCGCCAAAAGUCACAAAAAAUCUAUCAAAAUGUUCAAGCAGCACCUGGAAAUGAUCGGAAGCUACGAGCCAAUCAGCAAGAAGGCUCGCUUCUUCAACACCUACCUGAAGUCGUUGAAGGGAUCCCAGGACAUCAUGGCCAAGGAGA